GAUGAACGCUGGCGGCGUGCCUAAUACAUGCAAGUCGAGCGAACGGACGAGAAGCUUGCUUCUCUGAUGUUAGCGGCGGACGGGUGAGUAACACGUGGAUAACCUACCUAUAAGACUGGGAUAACUUCGGGAACCGGAGCUAAUACCGGAUGAUAUUUUGAACCGCAUGGUUCAAAAGUGAAAGACGGUCUUGCUGUCACUUAUAGAUGGAUCCGCGCUGCAUUAGCUAGUUGGUAAGGUAACGGCUUACCAAGGCAACGAUGCAUAGCCGACCUGAGAGGGUGAUCGGCCACACUGGAACUGAGACACGGUCCAGACUCCUACGGGAGGCAGCAGUAGGGAAUCUUCCGCAAUGGGCGAAAGCCUGACGGAGCAACGCCGCGUGAGUGAUGAAGGUCUUCGGAUCGUAAAACUCUGUUAUUAGGGAAGAACAUAUGUGUAAGUAACUGUGCACAUCUUGACGGUACCUAAUCAGAAAGCCACGGCUAACUACGUG
This 496-nucleotide ribosomal RNA is filed under the name uncultured bacterium. RNAcentral's name for it is "partial 16S ribosomal RNA". It matches the Rfam family "Bacterial small subunit ribosomal RNA", at positions 28 to 507 of the family's 1533-position model. The record is from RNAcentral.